Molecule: ribosomal RNA, 801 nt
Filed under: uncultured bacterium
Lineage: Bacteria
Description: bacterial SSU rRNA
Rfam family: Bacterial small subunit ribosomal RNA
Source: RNAcentral
GCUUACACAUGCAAGUCGAACGGUAACAGGCCUUCGGGCGCUGACGAGUGGCGGACGGGUGAGUAACGCGUAGGAAUCUGCCUUAUAGUGGGGGACAACGUGGGGAAACCCACGCUAAUACCGCAUACGCCCUACGGGGGAAAGCGGGGGAUCGUAAGACCUCGCGCUAUGAGAUGAGCCUGCGUUAGAUUAGCUAGUUGGUAGGGUAAAGGCCUACCAAGGCGACGAUCUAUAGCUGGUCUGAGAGGACGAUCAGCCACACUGGGACUGAGACACGGCCCAGACUCCUACGGGAGGCAGCAGUGGGGAAUAUUGGACAAUGGGCGCAAGCCUGAUCCAGCAAUACCGCGUGUGUGAAGAAGGCCUUAGGGUUGUAAAGCACUUUCAAUGGGGAGGAAAACCUGCCGGUCAAUACCCGGUAGCUUGACAUUACCUAUAGAAGAAGCACCGGCUAACUCCGUGCCAGCAGCCGCGGUAAUACGGAGGGUGCGAGCGUUAAUCGGAAUUACUGGGCGUAAAGCGUGCGUAGGCGGCUCGUUAAGUCAGAUGUGAAAGCCCUGGGCUCAACCUGGGAACUGCAUUUGAAACUGGCGAGCUAGAGUUGAGUAGAGGGGAGUGGAAUUUCAGGUGUAGCGGUGAAAUGCGUAGAUAUCUGAAGGAACAUCAGUGGCGAAGGCGACUCCCUGGACUCAAACUGACGCUGAGGUACGAAAGCGUGGGUAGCAAACAGGAUUAGAUACCCUGGUAGUCCACGCUGUAAACGAUGUCAACUAGCCGUUGGUCCUAUUUACAGGAUUAGUG